This 1207-nucleotide long non-coding RNA is filed under the name Takifugu rubripes (torafugu). RNAcentral describes it as "lncRNA (ENSTRUG00000032508.1)". Lineage: Eukaryota; Metazoa; Chordata; Actinopteri; Tetraodontiformes; Tetraodontidae. The record is from RNAcentral.
UGUCCCUUUAAUAAUGCUUAGCAACUACGCCUUUCUCUCAGUACUUUUCCAUCUACUUACUUCAUCGUCACAAGGUUAGUAUGAUAAACUGUAGCAUUUUGAAGGUUGCUGACUUGCACAUCAUCAUUUUCUAAGGAGUCUUUGUUCUACAACUCGUGACAUCUCGUACACCUGCACAAGCAUCAUCAAAUGAACUCGCUUGACCUUACUGGUUUAAAUGAUCUAUGCUAAACAAAACAACAUAAAAAAAAAAUAAUUUCCUUUACAUUUCCCUCCUUUUGAUCCUAAAGGAUCAACUUUUGAUUAUUGUAUUUACAUUUCAGCAUUUCAAAACAUUCCUAAAAAUUCCAAGGCAACACCCGUCUUCAGUUUAAGUUGCCUCUUCAUGGACGGAACAUUUUAGUCAUGCGGCACUGUUUACUUAUACAUUAUUUUCCAUUUCUGACUCUUCACUGGAACUUUCAUCAUGUAGUUUUUCUGCUUCUUCUUGAUUCUUUAUUGCUUCAUACGUCAACAAGGCUACUCGAUCGCCCAACAUCCUGUUAAUGAGUUUUAUCAACAGGGCACGUAUGCACGGAAUACAACAGCAUCCACAUAGAAUCAUUAUUGCCGCGAAAACAGCUAUUGACAUCAAAACAGACGCCACUAGGGUCUUGUACUUUCCAAAAAUGUCAAAGGUGUGUUCAAUGGUCAUUGCCAGCCUGCCACCAUCAACUGGGAGACAGCGACGGUCGGCGACGACCCUCAUGACGUGGCUUACAGAGAUUUCCUCAUCCGUCUGGUCACCAAGUGGGAUGCGUGGAUCCACGUCGCUCUCUCGGCCACCUUUAUGGCUGUCUGUGUCACCAGCAGGAUCUGGAAGGGACCUUGCCACCGUUUCUGGUUCCACCGUGUUCUGCGGAAAUCCUUCACCACCACGUAGUCUCCUGGUUUCAGGUUAUGGAGUUGCUCUUCUGCUGGAGUCGGCAGAGCAGCUUUCACUUGUCCUCGAAUGUCUGAAAGAGAUUUAGACAGAUUCCUGCAAUAGGUUAAUACUGAGUUUUCACAGUGAGUUGUGUCUGGAAGCAUUGGGCCAGAUUCACGAAACGUUCUUACGAACAAAUUUGUUCUUAAGUCCCACUUACGAACAGUUUACGAAGAUUGUGGCAUUCACCAAUUUCUUCUUAUCCUGGAUUUAUGCGUAGGUAAGAACAAAUCCUACGAACAC